This 480-nucleotide ribosomal RNA is filed under the name Triticum aestivum (bread wheat). RNAcentral describes it as "partial small subunit ribosomal RNA". The record is from RNAcentral. Lineage: Eukaryota; Viridiplantae; Streptophyta; Magnoliopsida; Poales; Poaceae.
UGUAGUCUCAAUGAUGAUGCAUACAUGUCAACUAUGGGUGUUGGGUCCAACAAUUCGCAUUGGUCUCAAACCAAUGACAUCCAUUUGGAAGACCAUGAGUUUGAGGUGGACGAGGAGGGUGAGAGCAUUGUCGACGCGCCGAAAGGAAGAGCGGGCAAUUGCAGCACCAACGAUGACAAGUUACUAUGCAAUACUUAUUUGCAAGUGUCAAGGGAUCCAUCAAUUGGAGGUGAUUAAAGUAGAGAUGCGUAUUGGGGGCGAAUGAAAGAAUACUUUGAUGCUCACAACAUGAGUGGAAUUGACCGCUCGGAGAGAUCACUUCGGUCCCGAUGGUCCACAAUCAACUCGGAUUGUCAAAAGUGGGCGGCCGCACAAAAGUCAGUUGACAAGAUUAACCCAAGUGGCACAAAUGAGGAUGAUAGAGUAAGUGGCAUCUCAUAUAUGUUCAUCUCAUAUUGUUUUUGGUGUCCGAAGUGCUAA